Molecule: long non-coding RNA, 1424 nt
Organism: Oenanthe melanoleuca
Lineage: Eukaryota; Metazoa; Chordata; Aves; Passeriformes; Muscicapidae
Exons: 3
Source: RefSeq, a predicted model, not a curated record
AGUGCUCAGUCACCCUCACAGUGGAAGAGCAGUGCCUACCAUCUAGAGGGAAGCUCCUGUGUUUCAGCUCAUGUCCAUUGGCUCUGGUCACCAAGGAAGAGAGCCUGGCUCCAUUCUCUUUACAACGUUUCAGAUGUUUGCAGCAGCUGGGAGGCAGCAUUGCUAGGACAAGGAGGUUAUUCUAUACCACCACACCUCACUGCCCAGGGUGGAAAAAGGUGGAUUCUGAGGAGAAAGGGUUUCUUCCUGAUGAGCAAGCCUGACACUGAGCUAAAAAUUGUUUCUAGGAGAAUGCACUCAGCGUGACUGUUUACGUGCUAACUCCUGAGAAGGUUAAAAGAAAAAGAGGAAAAAAAGCUCUUAAACAAGACCUGAAAGGUUCUGAAAGCAGCAAACCUUGCAAAUAAAGAGCCCAGUAAGAAAGUCGGAGAUCUGUACCUUGCCCAUCUCUCCAAAAACAUUUUAAAAAAUGAGAGAAGGCGGAUUGGCAGAAAGACAUUCUAAAGGAUGCUCUGUCAGGCAUACUCACUCACCCAGGUUCUCGUUUUUCUUGUCUUGAACAUAAUUCCAACCUCCAACAUGCCAAUUUAUUCUAAUACAGAAUUUAUAGCAUUAAGGUCCCAACCUGUGUCCUUCAUAGCUUUUCAUUUACUUUAAGUAAGAAAAUGUGCUGAAAAAAUAGAAUACUUCUUUACACUCUAAUCUAGAACAUAUUUAGUUUAACCUUCUUUCAGCCCUUUACCAACAAAAUGCUUUCACUGCAGCCAAAUUUGAAAGACAAGUUGAUGAAAGCUCCUAAGUCAGAUUUAGCAGGGGUGGAAAAACAGAUGUUCAGGGAUUUUUUAAUGCAAACUUCAGUUCUGACAGAAGGCACAGUAGUUGUGAAUGGGCCUCCAAAGCUAGUCUUCAAACUGGUUAUAAGCACUUAGGGUAGUUAAUACACAGUAAGCUUUGACCAAAAAUAACUGAGUCACUUUCCCACCAUCUUAAGUCACCCCAUGUUCCAAGCAGACACUUCCAAUCUGCUGACUGCCCCAGACUAAAGCAGAUUAUCUACAGGGUUUGUCAGAGAAAGGGAAGUAACAAUAAAAAUUCACGUUUUUACUUCCUAUGAACCACUAAAGACACUGUUUUCACAGGAGAGAUUGACACUCAAUAAAGAGUUUGCAGCUCAAAAAUGCCUGCCUAGAAUGCCAAGUUUCUCUUACAUAGCUCUCCUUUCCCUCAGCUUCACAUCAUGACUCAGAUGAUGCUCUAAAUGAAUUGGAAGCAUAAUUUCACAGUGCAUCAAAAUUAUGAAGUCCAGGCACAUCUAUUCACAUCUUUAAAAUUCAUAGAUCCAAGUAUAGUAACAGAUUUUCAGGACAUCUAAUUUCUCAAAAUCCAGUCUAUUUUUAUAGCUGCAAAAGAAGCUGUAAAAGAAC